Molecule: ribosomal RNA, 2924 nt
Filed under: Salmonella enterica subsp. enterica serovar Senftenberg
Lineage: Bacteria; Pseudomonadati; Pseudomonadota; Gammaproteobacteria; Enterobacterales; Enterobacteriaceae
Description: bacterial LSU rRNA
Rfam family: Bacterial large subunit ribosomal RNA
Source: RNAcentral
GGGUUGUGAGGUUAAGCGACUAAGCGUACACGGUGGAUGCCCUGGCAGUCAGAGGCGAUGAAGGGCGUGCUAAUCUGCGAUAAGCGCCGGUAAGGUGAUAUGAACCGUUAUAACCGGCGAUACCCGAAUGGGGAAACCCAGUGUGAUUCGUCACACUAUCAUUAACUGAAUCCAUAGGUUAAUGAGGCGAACCGGGGGAACUGAAACAUCUAAGUACCCCGAGGAAAAGAAAUCAACCGAGAUUCCCCCAGUAGCGGCGAGCGAACGGGGAGGAGCCCAGAGCCUGAAUCAGCGUGUGUGUUAGUGGAAGCGUCUGGAAAGGCGCGCGAUACAGGGUGACAGCCCCGUACACAAAAGCGCAUGUGCUGUGAGCUCGAUGAGUAGGGCGGGACACGUGGUAUCCUGUCUGAAUAUGGGGGGACCAUCCUCCAAGGCUAAAUACUCCUGACUGACCGAUAGUGAACCAGUACCGUGAGGGAAAGGCGAAAAGAACCCCGGCGAGGGGAGUGAAAAAGAACCUGAAACCGUGUACGUACAAGCAGUGGGAGCACCCUUUGGGGUGUGACUGCGUACCUUUUGUAUAAUGGGUCAGCGACUUAUAUUCUGUAGCAAGGUUAACCGUAUAGGGGAGCCGCAGGGAAACCGAGUCUUAACCGGGCGUUAAGUUGCAGGGUAUAGACCCGAAACCCGGUGAUCUAGCCAUGGGCAGGUUGAAGGUUGGGUAACACUAACUGGAGGACCGAACCGACUAAUGUUGAAAAAUUAGCGGAUGAUCUGUGGCUGGGGGUGAAAGGCCAAUCAAACCGGGAGAUAGCUGGUUCUCCCCGAAAGCUAUUUAGGUAGCGCCUCGUGAACUCAUCUCCGGGGGUAGAGCACUGUUUCGGCUAGGGGGCCAUCCCGGCUUACCAACCCGAUGCAAACUGCGAAUACCGGAGAAUGUUAUCACGGGAGACACACGGCGGGUGCUAACGUCCGUCGUGAAGAGGGAAACAACCCAGACCGCCAGCUAAGGUCCCAAAGUCAUGGUUAAGUGGGAAACGAUGUGGGAAGGCCCAGACAGCCAGGAUGUUGGCUUAGAAGCAGCCAUCAUUUAAAGAAAGCGUAAUAGCUCACUGGUCGAGUCGGCCUGCGCGGAAGAUGUAACGGGGCUAAACCAUGCACCGAAGCUGCGGCAGCGACACUGUGUGUUGUUGGGUAGGGGAGCGUUCUGUAAGCCUGUGAAGGUGGCCUGUGAGGGUUGCUGGAGGUAUCAGAAGUGCGAAUGCUGACAUAAGUAACGAUAAAGCGGGUGAAAAGCCCGCUCGCCGGAAGACCAAGGGUUCCUGUCCAACGUUAAUCGGGGCAGGGUGAGUCGACCCCUAAGGCGAGGCCGAAAGGCGUAGUCGAUGGGAAACGGGUUAAUAUUCCCGUACUUGGUGUUACUGCGAAGGGGGGACGGAGAAGGCUAUGUUGGCCGGGCGACGGUUGUCCCGGUUUAAGCGUGUAGGCUGGUUUUCCAGGCAAAUCCGGAAAAUCAAGGCUGAGGCGUGACGACGAGGCACUACGGUGCUGAAGCAACAAAUGCCCUGCUUCCAGGAAAAGCCUCUAAGCAUCAGGUAACACGAAAUCGUACCCCAAACCGACACAGGUGGUCAGGUAGAGAAUACCAAGGCGCUUGAGAGAACUCGGGUGAAGGAACUAGGCAAAAUGGUGCCGUAACUUCGGGAGAAGGCACGCUGACACGUAGGUGAAGUGAUUUACUCAUGGAGCUGAAGUCAGUCGAAGAUACCAGCUGGCUGCAACUGUUUAUUAAAAACACAGCACUGUGCAAACACGAAAGUGGACGUAUACGGUGUGACGCCUGCCCGGUGCCGGAAGGUUAAUUGAUGGGGUCAGCGCAAGCGAAGCUCCUGAUCGAAGCCCCGGUAAACGGCGGCCGUAACUAUAACGGUCCUAAGGUAGCGAAAUUCCUUGUCGGGUAAGUUCCGACCUGCACGAAUGGCGUAAUGAUGGCCAGGCUGUCUCCACCCGAGACUCAGUGAAAUUGAACUCGCUGUGAAGAUGCAGUGUACCCGCGGCAAGACGGAAAGACCCCGUGAACCUUUACUAUAGCUUGACACUGAACAUUGAGCCUUGAUGUGUAGGAUAGGUGGGAGGCUUUGAAGUGUGGACGCCAGUCUGCAUGGAGCCGACCUUGAAAUACCACCCUUUAAUGUUUGAUGUUCUAACGUGGACCCGUAAUCCGGGUUGCGGACAGUGUCUGGUGGGUAGUUUGACUGGGGCGGUCUCCUCCUAAAGAGUAACGGAGGAGCACGAAGGUUGGCUAAUCCUGGUCGGACAUCAGGAGGUUAGUGCAAUGGCAUAAGCCAGCUUGACUGCGAGCGUGACGGCGCGAGCAGGUGCGAAAGCAGGUCAUAGUGAUCCGGUGGUUCUGAAUGGAAGGGCCAUCGCUCAACGGAUAAAAGGUACUCCGGGGAUAACAGGCUGAUACCGCCCAAGAGUUCAUAUCGACGGCGGUGUUUGGCACCUCGAUGUCGGCUCAUCACAUCCUGGGGCUGAAGUAGGUCCCAAGGGUAUGGCUGUUCGCCAUUUAAAGUGGUACGCGAGCUGGGUUUAGAACGUCGUGAGACAGUUCGGUCCCUAUCUGCCGUGGGCGCUGGAGAACUGAGGGGGGCUGCUCCUAGUACGAGAGGACCGGAGUGGACGCAUCACUGGUGUUCGGGUUGUCAUGCCAAUGGCACUGCCCGGUAGCUAAAUGCGGAAGAGAUAAGUGCUGAAAGCAUCUAAGCACGAAACUUGCCCCGAGAUGAGUUCUCCCUGAGACUUAGAGUCUCCUGAAGGAACGUUGAAGACGACGACGUUGAUAGGCCGGGUGUGUAAGCGCAGCGAUGCGUUGAGCUAACCGGUACUAAUGAACCGUGAGGCUUAACCUUACAACGCCAAAG